GAUGAACGCUGGCGGCGUGCCUAAUACAUGCAAGUCGAGCGAACAGACGAGGAGCUUGCUCCUUUGACGUUAGCGGCGGACGGGUGAGUAACACGUAGGUAACCUACCUAUAAGACUGGGAUAACUUCGGGAAACCGGAGCUAAUACCGGAUAAUAUUUCGAACCGCAUGGUUCGAUAGUGAAAGAUGGCUUUGCUAUCACUUAUAGAUGGACCUGCGCCGUAUUAGCUAGUUGGUAAGGUAACGGCUUACCAAGGCAACGAUACGUAGCCGACCUGAGAGGGUGAUCGGCCACACUGGAACUGAGACACGGUCCAGACUCCUACGGGAGGCAGCAGUAGGGAAUCUUCCGCAAUGGGCGAAAGCCUGACGGAGCAACGCCGCGUGAGUGAUGAAGGUCUUCGGCUCGUAAAACUCCGUUAUUAGGGAAGAACAAACGUGUAAGUAACUGUGCACGUCUUGACGGUACCUAAUCAGAAAGCCACGGCUAACUACGUG
Molecule: ribosomal RNA, 497 nt
Filed under: uncultured bacterium
Lineage: Bacteria
Description: partial 16S ribosomal RNA
Rfam family: Bacterial small subunit ribosomal RNA
Source: RNAcentral